This 791-nucleotide ribosomal RNA is filed under the name uncultured archaeon. Its description in RNAcentral is "bacterial SSU rRNA". It matches the Rfam family "Archaeal small subunit ribosomal RNA", at positions 85 to 880 of the family's 1478-position model. The record is from RNAcentral.
ACGGCUCAGUAACACGUCAAUAAUCUGCCCUUAGGUUCGGGAUAACCUCGGGAAACUGAGGCUAAAACCGGAUAGAUAAUGAAUACUGGAAUGUUUCAUUAUUCAAAAGUAAUGCCUAAGGAUGAGUUGGCGGUUGAUUAGGUUGUUGGUAGUGUUAAGGACUACCAAGCCUUUGAUCAGUAGGGGCCGUGAGAGCGGUAGCCCCGAGAAGGGUACUUAGACACUGACCCUAGCCCUACGGGGUGCGGCAGGCGCGAAACUUUUACAAUGUACGUAAGUGCGAUAAAGGAACUCUUAGUGCUUAUGCACUGCAUAGGCUUUUGUUAAGAGUAAAUAUCUUAGCGAAUAAGUGGUGGGUAAGACUGGUGCCAGCCGCCGCGGUAACACCAGCGCCACGAGUGGGAAUCAUGUUUAUUGGGCCUAAAGCGUUCGUAGCUGGUUUGGUAAGUUUUGAGUGAAAUCGUUGCGCUUAACAAAACGAAUUGCUUGAGAUACUGUUGAUCUAGGGACCGGGAGGCGUUAAGGGUAUUUCUGAGGGAGCGGUAAAAUGUUGUAAUCUCAGGAGGACCACCUGUGGCGAAGGCGCUUAACGAGAACGGGUCCGACGGUGAGGAACGAAAGCUAGGGGAGCGAACCGGAUUAGAUACCCGAGUAGUCCUGGCCGUAAACGCUGCGAGUUAGGUGUUGCACAAACUACGGGUUUGUGCAGUGUCGAAAAGAAGUUGUUAAACUCGCCGCCUGGGAAGUACGGUCGCAAGACUGAAACUUUAAGGAAUUGGCGGGGGAGCACA